This 200-nucleotide ribosomal RNA is filed under the name uncultured bacterium. Its description in RNAcentral is "partial 16S ribosomal RNA". It matches the Rfam family "Bacterial small subunit ribosomal RNA", at positions 524 to 724 of the family's 1533-position model. The record is from RNAcentral.
GACAGAGGGUGCAAACGUUGCUCGGAAUUACUGGGCGUAAAGCGCGUGUAGGCGGUCACGCAAGUCAGGUGUGAAAGCCCAGGGCUCAACCCUGGAAGUGCACAUGAUACUACGUGGCUGGAGUACUGAAGAGGAGAGCGGAAUUCCGGUGUAGAGGUGAAAUUCGUAGAUAUCGGGAGGAACACCAGUGGCGAAGGCGG